Molecule: small RNA, 170 nt
Filed under: Chrysemys picta bellii (western painted turtle)
Lineage: Eukaryota; Metazoa; Chordata; Testudines; Emydidae
Description: TUC338 (ENSCPBG00000003496.1)
Source: RNAcentral
UGCCCCUAGAGACUGAAGUCCUAUCUGUAUAACCCAUAAAAUGUAUAGCACAGGCAGCAGCGGUGCAAGCUUCCCCCUACCCCAACCCAGAGAGCAUGAAAGGAGAUCACUGCUCAUGGCCCAUUUGUUCAUUGGCCUCUCAGUCUCCUUUGUUGGCUGCCUCUGCUCUC